UACGUAGGUGGCAAGCGUUAUCCGGAUUUACUGGGUGUCAAGGGCGUGUAGGCGGGAAAGCAAGUCAGAUGUGAAAACCAUGGGCUCAACCUGUGGCCUGCAUUUGAAACUGUUUUUCUUGAGUACUGGAGAGGCAGACGGAAUUCCUAGUGUAGCGGUGAAAUGCGUAGAUAUUAGGAGGAACACCAGUGGCGAAGGCGGUCUGCUGGACAGCAACUGACGCUGAGGCGCGAAAGCGUGGGGAGCAAACAGG
This 253-nucleotide ribosomal RNA is filed under the name uncultured bacterium. RNAcentral describes it as "partial 16S ribosomal RNA". It matches the Rfam family "Bacterial small subunit ribosomal RNA", at positions 524 to 776 of the family's 1533-position model. The record is from RNAcentral.